AAGCUUUCCGUGGUGAACCUGCGGAAGGAUCAUUACUGAGUGCGGGCUGCCUCCGGGCGCCCAACCUCCCACCCGUGAAUACCUAACACUGUUGCUUCGGCGGGGAACCCCCUCGGGGGCGAGCCGCCGGGGACUACUGAACUUCAUGCCUGAGAGUGAUGCAGUCUGAGUCUGAAUAUAAAAUCAGUCAAAACUUUCAACAAUGGAUCUCUUGGUUCCGGCAUCGAUGAAGAACGCAGCGAACUGCGAUAAGUAAUGUGAAUUGCAGAAUUCAGUGAAUCAUCGAGUCUUUGAACGCACAUUGCGCCCCCUGGCAUUCCGGGGGGCAUGCCUGUCCGAGCGUCAUUGCUGCCCAUCAAGCCCGGCUUGUGUGUUGGGUCGUCGUCCCCCCCGGGGGACGGGCCCGAAAGGCAGCGGCGGCACCGUGUCCGGUCCUCGAGCGUAUGGGGCUUUGUCACCCGCUCGACUAGGGCCGGCCGGGCGCCAGCCGACGUCUCCAACCAUUUUUCUUCAGGUUGACCUCGGAUCAGGUAGGGAUACCCGCUGAACUUAAGCAUAUCAAUAAGCGGAGGAGGAUCC
Molecule: ribosomal RNA, 579 nt
Filed under: uncultured fungus
Lineage: Eukaryota; Fungi
Description: eukaryotic LSU rRNA
Rfam family: 5.8S ribosomal RNA (bases 192-345)
Source: RNAcentral